GAACUCGCUGUGAAGAUGCAGUGUACCCGCGGCAAGACGGAAAGACCCCGUGAACCUUUACUAUAGCUUGACACUGAACAUUGAGCCUUGAUGUGUAGGAUAGGUGGGAGGCUUUGAAGCGUGGACGCCAGUCUGCGUGGAGCCGACCUUGAAAUACCACCCUUUAAUGUUUGAUGUUCUAACGUUGGCCCCUUACCGGGGUUGCGGACAGUGUCUGGUGGGUAGUUUGACUGGGGCGGUCUCCUCCCAAAGCGUAACGGAGGAGCACGAAGGUUAGCUAAUCCUGGUC
RNAcentral lists this ribosomal RNA (289 nucleotides) under Klebsiella quasipneumoniae subsp. similipneumoniae. RNAcentral describes it as "partial 23S ribosomal RNA". It matches the Rfam family "Bacterial large subunit ribosomal RNA", at positions 2044 to 2332 of the family's 2925-position model. Lineage: Bacteria; Pseudomonadati; Pseudomonadota; Gammaproteobacteria; Enterobacterales; Enterobacteriaceae. The record is from RNAcentral.